This 427-nucleotide ribosomal RNA is filed under the name uncultured bacterium. RNAcentral describes it as "bacterial SSU rRNA". It matches the Rfam family "Bacterial small subunit ribosomal RNA", at positions 355 to 774 of the family's 1533-position model. The record is from RNAcentral.
UGGGGAAUUUUGGACAAUGGGCGCAAGCCUGAUCCAGCCAUGCCGCGUGCGGGAAGAAGGCCUUCGGGUUGUAAACCGCUUUUGUCGGGGAAGAAAUCUCUCGGGCUAAUACCUCGGGGGGAUGACGGUACCCGAAGAAUAAGCACCGGCUAACUACGUGCCAGCAGCCGCGGUAAUACGUAGGGUGCGAGCGUUAAUCGGAAUUACUGGGCGUAAAGCGUGCGCAGGCGGUCGUGCGAGACAGAUGUGAAAUCCCCGGGCUCAACCUGGGAACUGCAUUUGUGACUGCACGGCUGGAGUACGGCAGAGGGGGAUGGAAUUCCGCGUGUAGCAGUGAAAUGCGUAGAUAUGCGGAGGAACACCGAUGGCGAAGGCAGUCCCCUGGGCCUGUACUGACGCUCAUGCACGAAAGCGUGGGGAGCAAACA